Molecule: ribosomal RNA, 440 nt
Filed under: uncultured bacterium
Lineage: Bacteria
Description: partial 16S ribosomal RNA
Rfam family: Bacterial small subunit ribosomal RNA
Source: RNAcentral
CCUACGGGUGGCAGCAGUAGGGAAUAUUGCUCAAUGGGGGAAACCCUGAAGCAGCAACGCCGCGUGGAGGAUGAAGGUUUUCGGAUUGUAAACUCCUUUUGUUAGAGAAGAGAAUGACGGUAUCUAACGAAUAAGCACCGGCUAACGCCGUGCCAGCAGCCGCGGUAAUACGGAGGGGGCAAGCGUCACUCGGAAUCACUGGGCGGAAAGAGCGCGUAGGCGGGAUAGCAAGUCAGAUGUGAAAUCCUCUGGCUUAACCAUAGAACUGCAUUUGAAACUGUUAUUCUAGAGUAUGGGAGAGGUAGGUGGAAUUCUUGGUGUAGUGGUCCAAUCCGUAGAGAUCAAGCGGAAUACUCAUUGCGAAGGCGACCUGCUAGACCAUAACUGACGCUGAUGCGCGACAGCGUGGGGAGCAAACAGGAUUAGAUACCCUAGUAGUC